This 997-nucleotide ribosomal RNA is filed under the name uncultured bacterium. Its description in RNAcentral is "bacterial SSU rRNA". It matches the Rfam family "Bacterial small subunit ribosomal RNA", at positions 355 to 1375 of the family's 1533-position model. The record is from RNAcentral.
UGGGGGAUAUUGCACAAUGGGGGAAACCCUGAUGCAGCGACGCCGCGUGGAGGAAGAAGGUUUUCGGAUUGUAAACUCCUGUCGUUAGGGACGAUAAUGACGGUACCUAACAAGAAAGCACCGGCUAACUACGUGCCAGCAGCCGCGGUAAAACGUAGGGUGCAAGCGUUGUCCGGAAUUACUGGGUGUAAAGGGAGCGCAGGCGGGAAGACAAGUUGGAAGUGAAAACCAUGGGCUCAACCCAUGAAUUGCUUUCAAAACUGUUUUUCUUGAGUAGUGCAGAGGUAGAUGGAAUUCCCGGUGUAGCGGUGGAAUGCGUAGAUAUCGGGAGGAACACCAGUGGCGAAGGCGGUCUACUGGGCACCAACUGACGCUGAGGCUCGAAAGCAUGGGUAGCAAGCAGGAUUAGAUACCCUGGUAGUCCAUGCCGUAAACGAUGAUUACUAGGUGUUGGGGGAUUGACCCCCUCAGUGCCGCAGUUAACACAAUAAGUAAUCCACCUGGGGAGUACGACCGCAAGGUUGAAACUCAAAGGAAUUGACGGGGGCCCGCACAAGCAGUGGAGUAUGUGGUUUAAUUCGAAGCAACGCGAAGAACCUUACCAGGUCUUGACAUCCGAUGCAUAGCACAGAGAUGUGUGAAAUCCUUCGGGACAUCGAGACAGGUGGUGCAUGGUUGUCGUCAGCUCGUGUCGUGAGAUGUUGGGUUAAGUCCCGCAACGAGCGCAACCCUUAUUGCCAGUUACUACGUUAAGAGGACUCUGGCGAGACUGCCGUUGACAAAACGGAGGAAGGUGGGGAUGACGUCAAAUCAUCAUGCCCUUUAUGACCUGGGCUACACACGUACUACAAUGGCGUUAAACAAAGAGAAGCAAGACCGCGAGGUGGAGCAAAACUCAAAAACAACGUCUCAGUUCAGAUUGCAGGCUGCAACUCGCCUGCAUGAAGUCGGAAUUGCUAGUAAUCGCGGAUCAGCAUGCCGCGGUGAAUACGUUCCC